AGUUGGUACAGUAGGAUGUUUCUGCCAGGAGGUUCAGGUCGAGUUAAUCAUAUACAACAAUGUCAGCAUCGAGAUAUGUGGUCGAGUGAAUUUGAUUCAUCGAUUAUGGUUUGGAGAAUAAGCCAAGGAUCAUACAGAAAAUCUUUGUGAACUUCGGCAAAAAUUUUGGAGUAGAUAAAAAGACCAUCGAGUUUCAAAGCUUCGAGGAGAUGUUAGAGUAUGACGUGAAUGUUAAAGAAGCUAUUAUUGUUGAAGAAGUUAACCAAGUCCUGCAGACCGUUUAUUUUCCAACCGGUGUAGAUCAAAGGUCAGUUUCAAAUGAGUUAAGUAGGUCGUUGGAGAUGAUUUUGGGUGUACAUUUCAUCAGAUCAAGAUCGAGGACCUUGAGCCGUUAUGGUUGUGACUAGCAAGGACAGAAUGGUCAUGAUUGUCAAAGUCUGGGAAAUCCUGGAAUGUUUGCAUCAUUCGCGCUUUGGUUGUUCUUGUGAAGAGUUAGGAUUUUAGGUUACCCUUCCUUAUGAAGUUAUCUAGUUCUUUUACCUAUACCUAGGGUACUAGUAGUUGAACUUUUUUGCGCUUCCUUACCAUUAGUCUUAAUCCAAGUGUUAGGCUAUUUGGGUAGAGCCUACACUUUAUGGUUGUCUGGAC
RNAcentral lists this long non-coding RNA (648 nucleotides) under Brassica napus (rape). RNAcentral describes it as "long non-coding RNA (BNAP_LNC025509)". The record is from RNAcentral. Lineage: Eukaryota; Viridiplantae; Streptophyta; Magnoliopsida; Brassicales; Brassicaceae.